CAGGGAGACAACAAAAUGUUUAAUUUUAUUAUUUUGUCACCUUAGGUCGAUCGGUAUCUCACGUUCUUAAUUUGUUAAGAAUUUCAUUUCCUAAGUUUUUCUAGGUCACACCCAUUAUUUUUCCUGGGCCAUUAGCUCAGGUGGUUAGAGCGCACCCCUGAUAAGGGUGAGGUCCCUGGUUCAAGUCCAGGAUGGCCCAUAUCUCUAUGUUGGGGGUAUAGCUCAGUUGGUAGAGCGCCUGCUUUGCAAGCAGGAUGUCAGCGGUUCGAGUCCGCUUACCUCCACUGAUUACCACCUCUUACAUAACUGGUAAAAAGGAAAUGUUUUGAGUUGUGAUCAUUAUUCUGAACGAAUCUAGCUUCCUAAUGAAAUCAUUAAGAUGCUGGACUCAUUGAAUUAAUUUCAUUGUUUUCAGAGAACCUUGACAACUGCAUAGAUUAUUUUUAAAGACAAUAAGCAUCUUUAAUGAUGCAGAUUUAUUAUUUGUGCGAAUGCAUUAAUAACAAUUCUAUUAAGCUGAUGCUUCAAUUUUUUGAAGUUAUU
Molecule: transfer RNA, 543 nt
Filed under: uncultured Prochlorococcus sp.
Lineage: Bacteria; Bacillati; Cyanobacteriota; Cyanophyceae; Synechococcales; Prochlorococcaceae
Description: partial 16S-23S ribosomal RNA intergenic spacer
Rfam family: tRNA (bases 212-284)
Source: RNAcentral